This 1030-nucleotide long non-coding RNA is filed under the name Olea europaea subsp. europaea. The record is from RNAcentral. Lineage: Eukaryota; Viridiplantae; Streptophyta; Magnoliopsida; Lamiales; Oleaceae.
GGGAAACAAAACAUUAUUUAUAGAAUAUUUACUUACUAGUCAAGAUUAACAAUUGAAAUUGGGAAUCAAUAUUAUGGUGAAUAAAUGGAAAAGAAAUCGAGCCGCCAGUUUACGUGAAUAAUUGCUAUUUAAUGUUUUAGCCUCAUUUUUCCAUAAUUUGCACCAGAUCUUAAGAUUCUUCUUUAAUGGCUUUACUCUUGGAAUUGCAAUGGACGUAUUAGCUUCCUUUUUCAAAAUUUUUGCACCAGAAAACUCUUUACAUAAAUAACAAUUUCAUCUUCCUGUACAAAAACAUAUUUUCUUCAAUCAAACAUUCAAUCAAAAAAUUCCAGAAUCUUGCUUACUCCUAAUUUUCAAUUAUGAAUCCAUCUAACUCUACACUAGGAACACCUCAACAACCAUCAAAUCUUCGUGCAAAUCAAUUUGAUGAUAAGCAACUAUGGAACCAUGUAAAGGUACUCACUGCAGCAGUGAGUGAAGGCGGAAAUCGGACUUGGAGUUGAAACUAUUGCAAUAAAAAAAAAAGUGAUUGGAUCUUACUCUGAAGUAAAGGCUCAUUUGUUAAAACUUCCAAAUCACAGAGUUGAGUGUUGUAAAGUUAUAACAGACUAUAUUCAUCAAUCAAUCAAAAGGGAACACGAGCAAGUCGAGAGGAAAAAAAUUAAAAGAUGAGGUCAAUGAAAGGAAAAAGGAACGAGUAUGUCUCAUUACCGAGUGUCUCAGAUUUACAACAGCAGCAAAAAAAAGAGAGGAGAGCUUGGACCUCUAGAAAAGACCUUCAACAUGGCGCAUAGGGACACGGCUGAUAAAGACGCUGCCAGAAUGUUCUACGCUAGUGCAUUAUCAUUCAAUUUGGCAAAGCCUCCUUGCUUCAUACAGUUUUGUAGAACUUUAGCCAAUAGUAACUUGGUUGGUUAUAUCCCUCCUACUUAUAAUUGACUGCGCACACCAUUUCUUGCACUAGAGAAGGAGCAUAUCAAUAGAAAACUGCAGCAUAUUAGAUAUUCAUGGAGGAAAAGUGGCUAGUUGA